UAAUAAGUGUUUUAUGGCACUUUUUAAAUCCAUAUCCACCUUGUGUGCAAUGUCAGUCGAUCUUCUUCAUGGAGAUCGACCAAACAUCAACCUUUAUCUUUUAACUUUUUGUCUGAAAAUAUUAUGAAUAAACAAUUCAAAAUA
RNAcentral lists this unclassified non-coding RNA (144 nucleotides) under soil metagenome. RNAcentral's name for it is "partial internal transcribed spacer 1". The record is from RNAcentral.